RNAcentral lists this long non-coding RNA (225 nucleotides) under Elaeis guineensis (African oil palm). RNAcentral describes it as "long non-coding RNA (EGUI_LNC032200)". The record is from RNAcentral. Lineage: Eukaryota; Viridiplantae; Streptophyta; Magnoliopsida; Arecales; Arecaceae.
GCUUACUUAUUCACUUCAUCAUUCAUAUUUAUAUUGAUAAAUUAAUUAAAAUAUAUUAUAUUUUAUAGUAUAUAUACUCAAAAUUCUGUCAUCAUCAAAAGAAAAGAGAUUGUUGAUCAUGUAAUUGAUUUUGAUGAUUACAAAAUAUUGAGUAAUUAUGUACUAAUUAUGCAUUUCAAGGAUAGAUGUAAGAUUGAAAAAAUUAUCUAUGAAAGAAAUCCUCUC